RNAcentral lists this ribosomal RNA (699 nucleotides) under Klebsiella quasivariicola. RNAcentral's name for it is "partial 16S rRNA". Lineage: Bacteria; Pseudomonadati; Pseudomonadota; Gammaproteobacteria; Enterobacterales; Enterobacteriaceae. The record is from RNAcentral.
GUCCAGGGGGCCGCCUUCGCCACCGGUAUUCCUCCAGAUCUCUACGCAUUUCACCGCUACACCUGGAAUUCUACCCCCCUCUACAAGACUCUAGCCUGCCAGUUUCGAAUGCAGUUCCCAGGUUGAGCCCGGGGAUUUCACAUCCGACUUGACAGACCGCCUGCGUGCGCUUUACGCCCAGUAAUUCCGAUUAACGCUUGCACCCUCCGUAUUACCGCGGCUGCUGGCACGGAGUUAGCCGGUGCUUCUUCUGCGGGUAACGUCAAUCGAUGAGGUUAUUAACCUCACCGCCUUCCUCCCCGCUGAAAGUGCUUUACAACCCGAAGGCCUUCUUCACACACGCGGCAUGGCUGCAUCAGGCUUGCGCCCAUUGUGCAAUAUUCCCCACUGCUGCCUCCCGUAGGAGUCUGGACCGUGUCUCAGUUCCAGUGUGGCUGGUCAUCCUCUCAGACCAGCUAGGGAUCGUCGCCUAGGUGAGCCGUUACCCCACCUACUAGCUAAUCCCAUCUGGGCACAUCUGAUGGCAUGAGGCCCGAAGGUCCCCCACUUUGGUCUUGCGACGUUAUGCGGUAUUAGCUACCGUUUCCAGUAGUUAUCCCCCUCCAUCAGGCAGUUUCCCAGACAUUACUCACCCGUCCGCCGCUCGUCACCCGAGAGCAAGCUCUCUGUGCUACCGCUCGACUUGCAUGUGUUAGGCCU